AAGAACCUUACCUACUCUUGACAUCCAGAGAACUUUCCAGAGAUGGAUUGGUGCCUUCGGGAACUCUGAGACAGGUGCUGCAUGGCUGUCGUCAGCUCGUGUUGUGAAAUGUUGGGUUAAGUCCCGCAACGAGCGCAACCCUUAUCCUUUGUUGCCAGCGGUUAGGCCGGGAACUCAAAGGAGACUGCCAGUGAUAAACUGGAGGAAGGUGGGGAUGACGUCAAGUCAUCAUGGCCCUUACGAGUAGGGCUACACACGUGCUACAAUGGCGCAUACAAAGAGAAGCGACCUCGCGAGAGCAAGCGGACCUCAUAAAGUGCGUCUAUCCGGAUUGGAGUCUGCAACUCGACUCCAUGAAGUCGGAAUCGCUAGUAAUCGUAGAUCAGAA
Molecule: ribosomal RNA, 388 nt
Filed under: Cedecea sp. FES9
Lineage: Bacteria; Pseudomonadati; Pseudomonadota; Gammaproteobacteria; Enterobacterales; Enterobacteriaceae
Description: bacterial SSU rRNA
Rfam family: Bacterial small subunit ribosomal RNA
Source: RNAcentral